UACGGGAGGCAGCAGUGGGGAAUAUUGCACAAUGGGCGCAAGCCUGAUGCAGCCAUGCCGCGUGUAUGAAGAAGGCCUUCGGGUUGUAAAGUACUUUCAGUCGUGAGGAAGGUGUUAAGGUUAAUAACCUUAGCAAUUGACGUUAGCGACAAAAGAAGCACCGGCUAACUCCGUGCCAGCAGCCGCGGUAAUACGGAGGGUGCGAGCGUUAAUCGGAAUUACUGGGCGUAAAGGGCACGCAGGCGGUUAAUUAAGUUGGAUGUGAAAUCCCCGGGCUUAACCUGGGAAUGGCAUUCAAGACUGGUUAGCUAGAGUCUUGUAGAGGGGGUAGAAUUCCAUGUGUAGCGGUGAAAUGCGUAGAGAUGUGGAGGAAUACCGGUGGCGAAGGCGGCCCCUGGACAAAGACUGACGCUCAUGUGCGAAAGCGUGGGGAGCAAACAGGGAUUAGAUACC
RNAcentral lists this ribosomal RNA (453 nucleotides) under uncultured bacterium. RNAcentral's name for it is "bacterial SSU rRNA". It matches the Rfam family "Bacterial small subunit ribosomal RNA", at positions 340 to 786 of the family's 1533-position model. The record is from RNAcentral.